RNAcentral lists this ribosomal RNA (731 nucleotides) under uncultured marine organism. RNAcentral describes it as "SSU rRNA". It matches the Rfam family "Bacterial small subunit ribosomal RNA", at positions 63 to 785 of the family's 1533-position model. The record is from RNAcentral.
CGAACGGAAACGAUGGAAGCUUGCUUCCAGGCGUCGAGUGGCGGACGGGUGAGUAAUGCUUAGGAAUCUGCCCAGUAGUGGGGGACAACACGGGGAAACUCGUGCUAAUACCGCAUACGCCUUACGAGGGAAAGUGGAGGAUCUUCGGACUUCACGCUAUUGGAUGAGCCUAAGUCGGAUUAGCUUGUUGGUGGGGUAAUGGCCUACCAAGGCGACGAUCCGUAGCUGGUCUGAGAGGACGAUCAGCCACACUGGGACUGAGACACGGCCCAGACUCCUACGGGAGGCAGCAGUGGGGAAUAUUGGACAAUGGGGGCAACCCUGAUCCAGCAAUGCCGCGUGUGUGAAGAAGGCCUGCGGGUUGUAAAGCACUUUCAGUAGAGAAGAAAAGCUUAGGGUUAAUACCCCUGAGUCUUGACGUAACCUACAGAAGAAGCACCGGCUAACUCCGUGCCAGCAGCCGCGGUAAUACGGAGGGUGCGAGCGUUAAUCGGAAUUACUGGGCGUAAAGCGCGCGUAGGCGGUCUGGUCAGUCGGAUGUGAAAGCCCCGGGCUUAACCUGGGAAUUGCAUUCGAUACUGCCAAACUAGAAUGUUGGAGAGGGAAGUGGAAUUUCCGGUGUAGCGGUGAAAUGCGUAGAGAUCGGAAGGAACACCAGUGGCGAAGGCGGCUUCCUGGCCAAACAUUGACGCUGAGGUGCGAAAGCGUGGGUAGCGAACAGGAUUAGAUAC